UGAAGUAAGGUAGACUAGUAAGGU
This 24-nucleotide microRNA is filed under the name Haemonchus contortus (barber pole worm). Its description in RNAcentral is "hco-miR-5928c". The record is from miRBase by way of RNAcentral. Lineage: Eukaryota; Metazoa; Nematoda; Chromadorea; Rhabditida; Trichostrongylidae.